RNAcentral lists this long non-coding RNA (7960 nucleotides) under Mytilus galloprovincialis (Mediterranean mussel). The record is from RNAcentral. Lineage: Eukaryota; Metazoa; Mollusca; Bivalvia; Mytilida; Mytilidae.
CUCCAACGUAGUAUCAAGUAUCGAAGGUUAAAAAAUACUGACAUACUGAUACACUGCUUAUAAGUAUCUAUAUAUAAUAAACUGACAGAUUGCACAAUGGUAUGAGACUGUCAUGCAUGUUGUGCAGGUAUUUGCCAUGCACGUUCACGUGAAACGAAAGUGGUAUGUAGUAAGCUAUAUUUAUAUAUAUAUAAUGGUGCGUUUUUUAUUGAAUCACCAUCCUGCUCGGAAAUAUUGAUUCAUAAAAAUCAAACGGACUAUACGCUUCAUAAAAUUCAGUGUUAUAUUUGAUUUGGCCAGUUUUUUUAAUUUUUUGUUUGGGAUGGGGGGGGGGGGGGGGGCAAUAAUAUUAAAUAUACAAUUUAUCAGAGAUACAUUAUUCGUACAUUGUAAAAAUAUAUAUAAUUGAUUUGGUUAUGCGCUAUUCGUAUAUUCAUUGUUAGAAAACGUAAAACUUAUUCAGUACGAACUUAGGAAUCAAGGAGAAAGGCAAGGUCUCGCCUGUUUUUGUCCUAUUCCGAAGCGAGUCUUUAUUUUUGUGAUACUAGUAAUUGCAUAGGUUACAUGAUAAAUCGUCAUGAACUAAGACAAUAUAUAUUUAAUUUUAAACAGAUUUUGAUAGAAUUUGGCUUCUAUUUUGAGAUAUGAGCACAACAAAUAUUAUAUAUCAUGCGUGAAAAGUUUAUUUUUCGGUCUCGGAACUUGUAGUUUAUAAGUUUAGUAUUAAAUUUCGGAGACCGUAAAAAGGAAUUUAAAUUUUCAGCCAGGGAUGGAGGUAAAACGGUGAACAUUAUUUUUUGUCAAGUUACAAAUCGCGUCGAGCGGAACAAUACGAAUGUUUCAGUAUAGUUUAAAAUUAUUAAUAAUCGAAUAAUUUUUCUUCGCUUGCCAAAUGUUACGUCCAGUACACUCCCCCUUUUUCCUCUUAUUUUGUCACCAGCGAAGACAAGAUAUAUCAGUCUGAUAUGGCCUUUGGAUUUAAUAUUCAAUACUCUGGAUUCGUUUAUUUUCGUGGGUACAAAUUUUCGUGAAUUUAUAAAGUCUUGCAUGUUCGUGGAUAUUCGAAUUCGAGGCUUUGCCAAUGACUACAUACAGUUAGAAACUUUGAAUUUCGUUGAACAUUUGAAUUCAAAGGCGGAUUAGGGGGGCAGGGGGCGCCGCCCCCCCCCCUUUUUGGGAAAAAAUUUGGUUGCCUAUAUAGGGAAUCACUGAAGCGUGACUGGAGCGGGCCCACUGACUGACCUAAGAGGGGGCCCGCUCCAGUCACGCUUCAGUGAUUCCCUAUAUAAGCAACCAAAUUUUUUCCCAAAAAGGGGGGGCCGGGCCCCCUGCCCCCCUAAAUCCGCCUUUGAAUUCAAAUGUUCAACGAAAUUCACUUAUGAAAAUUUCUGGAUCCGCCACUGGAAUUCGUGGUUGCAUGACUGCAUGUACACACAAAACUCACGAAAAUUGGUAUCCAACGAAUUAUAAUGAAUCAACAUUAGUUAAGUUUAAGGAGUUAAGAUUGUAUUCUUAUUAUCCAUUCAUUUACAUCUUCAAACAAAAUUAUUAUAAAUAAAAAAAUGUUUACAGCGUAUAUUCAUGAUACAUACAGUAAACAAACUAUUGGAAAGUCAAUCACAGAAUGUUUGCACUGAAAUGAAGUUGCAUGACCAUCAGAUCUAUGUUAUUAGAAUUUUAGGAACUAGGUAAAUAAAUAGUAAGUUAGUGAAUGGAUUGACCAUGAGAGGUCAUGUGUACGUUCGAUUGAUCUCUAAACAACAUAAUUUGAAUAUGAAUUAAACUAAAGAGUCCCACUGGUCAAGGAACCGGUUAGUGACAAUAAAAAUGUUGUUGUGGUCAUAACUUUAUACCUCCCUCUGUGUUGACUUUGAUUGUGAAAUUCAAACUUUAUGUAAGUACUAAAGAUCGAGACCUUUUGAUAUAAAAUUCCAUGUUUUGACCAUGGAAGUAUUAUAUUGUCAAUAUUGUAGUACCAUGGUUUGACAAACACAAGUGGACAAACAAUUAAUUGUUUGUCUGUCAAACCAUGGAAGUACCAGUCAAUAUAUUUAUUGCAAAAUACUGUCCGAGCUUUUGCGAAUUCGAAGUACAGAUGCAUUACAAAUAAAAUACCAAGAAUAUAUGUGGUUUGAAAACUAAUGAAGUUAGCAAUGAAUUUGAUUUUUUCCCGUCGAUUUUUUUUUUUUUUUUUUUUUAUAUAUAUAUUAUAACCGCAAGAACGUCCAAUCAAAAUCCAAAGUUUAUGUCUCCUUACAGUGCCCCACAACUGAUUGAUGUAAACACAACAAUUUCUAGGUCAGUUGAAUAGUUCAAGCGACGCUGUUGUUUGUAAACAAGAAAAAUUGUCACAAGACGUAGAUCACACACACUUUUUUACAGGAAAGAUCAAAAGUUCAAUGCUAAAAUGCAUUCUUAUGCCUUUUCCUUUAGCCAACUGACUCAUGUAGUCGAAUUAACUGAAGUGCAAGUUGUUGAAACUCUUGUCUUUUACGUAAUCAGUUCUGGAUUACUUCAUCACGGACAGAUAUUUGGCAGCUAGCUGCAUCACUAUGAUAUAAUUAACCAAAAUGUAAUUUGUACAUUAUCUGGGUGUUUGUACGAAAGAUAUGCAAUUUACAUAUAUACAUGCAUAUAAGUGAUACCUGGAAAUAAUCGAGUUCUUAAUUCUCUAUGUAUUCGAAAAUUGCAUAAAUCUGUAGAAUUGUGUUUUGUUAGUUUCUCUUUGACUUAUGCGCUUUGAAUGACUCCUUGGUAUCGUUUUUUUAAAGAUAAUAUAAAACCAACAACAGAUUUAUUGUGCGUUCACUAUAUAUAUAUAUAUAUAUAUAUAUAUAUAUAUAUAUAUAUAUAUAUAUAUAUAUAUAGACACUGUUUUAUUUUAAUUACAUAGCGCUAGUGUUUGGUUUGUUAAAUUAUUCGCAUUAAAAUUGUACAUUUUGAAUUAAGUUUCGUCAAUGUGCAAGUAGAUCUUUAGCAAAUAAAAUUAUAUUUAUUUAUUUAUGAAAUGCACAUGUAUACCCCUAGGGGUUGAAGGCAUAUACAAACAAUACAAUACAAUAUACUCAAUGGAAAAAUUAACAUAUUAAACAUCAUAUAUAAAGUGGUAAAUCGUAUUUUGAAAAAUGAAAAUAUGUAGAUUUUUUCAAUCCCAUAUGUCAUGUGAUUAAAAUAAUAAUGUUGUUAUUGAUGAUGCAUAACCCCAUCAUAAGUUAUUUUUCUAAUUAUGACAAUUUUAGAGACAUGCUUGACCUAUAUUCUUUUUUUUAAAUUCUAUCUCACAUUUUAUUUUGUUUUCAUUCCUAAUUUGUUUUCGUUUGACUUUUAUACGCAGGUUAAUUGGAUAUCGUAAAUUAUAGAAUAAUUUUAAGAUAAUAAAAAAGUGAUAAACUGCGCAUAUAUAUAACCAAGUAAAUAAGAAUAAUAAUUCUUUUAUUGUCAUAUAAGUAAAAUUAUUAUACUUGUGACAUGAACAAAAAAACAAAACUGAGUUGAACACACACAUUUCUUAUAUGUUACCAGCAUACGGACUUCACUUAACUUUUUCUUAUAUAUAUACAAGCAAAAAUAAUUAAAGAGUCCCCUGUCUUCCGCUCUAAAUACUGAAUUAUAAAGGAACCUGUUUUUUUUUUUACUUGGUUUACAUUUGAAGGAUUUAUUUAACAAAAAUAUAUCAAAACAAACAAAAAAAUAAGAGUGUAAGGGGAGUAAUCGUGAUUUUAAAUAUGUAUUCGAUAAUUUCUUCCUGUAAGUUUCAUAGUUGCAUCCCUUUGCCGAAGUUAAAAAAAUUGUCCAAAAGUAGUGUUUCUGCUAUGAUGAAAUUGUUUUAAGAAUCUUUUUUUUUCAUUUUUUCCAAAAGUGGGAGCCUAUUUUUCCAAAAUAAAUUGACGGUACUAUUUUUUGUUACCCAUUUAACCUCGCAAAUGUGUUGCAGUUGUGCACCUGCUAUACACCUGAGUACUCCCCAACCCUAACACCCAUUUUUCCAAUCUUAGGAACUUUUUAAUUUCUUAUAUAAAUGUUAUGAAAAAAAAGAUGUAUCUAUAUAAUAAGGGCACGAAUGAUCAAGCUCCAAGUUACUAAUAAUAUGCGAAAAAUACUUUUUUCCAGAGCAUUUGAUGUCACUGAUAGUUUUUUAAAGAGUUCUAUUGUUCUAACCUUCAAGUAUUUUUGCGCUGUGUGUUCUUUUCUUCAUAUUGUCACUGUUUAUGAGAUUUGAUUCUUAGUAUUCAUUCGGCAAUCCUCGGUAGAAUCCGCUACUCUCCUUCUCCGUUAGAUGAGGGUACGGAAUCGGCCGAGUUGAGACGAAUGUCUUAGUAUUGUGUACUUGAGUUUCAAUAAAGUCAGCUGUUUUGUUUUGACAUGAGAUAUAGAUAAAUAAAAAUACUGAUUGCCAAUGAGACAACUGCACCAAAGGUUGUACGCAAUUAAAGGCAGCUGCACGGCCUUAAACAAUGAGAAAAAAACCCAUACCGUAUGGUUCUCAUAUUUGUUCAAUUCCUGGAAAUAGAUGUUGAACAAAUCGAUAUACUAAGGUUUUUCUACCAGAGGCAUAGCUUGCUUUUUUUGACAGACUUUUUUUAAUUUGAAGUGGGCUGCCGACUGUUUCGAUUCAAACGACACUGAUGAGUCUGUCGUAGACGACACGCGCAUCAGGCGUACACAAUGUUAAGCAUAGUUUGUGUGUUUUAUGAGUUUAAUUUUUGAUUUUCACGAUUUUCAAGAUUUUAUUCAUAACCUCAAACACAUACUUGUGUACAAGAGGACAAUAUAUACAAACAUACUAAGAUAAUACAUAGCGAGACAGGACAAACGAAACACAAAUACAUAGUAUAUUAUAAAAGACAAUUGGUAUAAUUAGAUUAAGUAUUUUAUGAUUUUCUUCACGAAAAUUGAUAAUUUCCUUUGAACUUGUACGUUACAUAUAGACAACAAGCCAGUAAAUUUGUUGUUGCUUGGAUUCAUUAUAUAGUAAUUUGGUAUAAACUUUGAUCUAAGAGCAGAAAUAUCAGCAUUUUUACAGGUAUAAAACAAUAUAGGAAACUCAUCCCCUAUUCCCUCAUUACAUAAUGUACAUAUUCUAUUUUCCCUCGCGAUCCCCGCCCAUCUACCCGUCUCAAUAGGUCACUUCAAAUUCGAGCAUUGAAGUUUAGACAUGUAAUAUCUGUCCUUGGGUAAUAAUCGCAAUAGAUACGGUUCCAAACCAAACUCGAGUUUGAAUAAAGAAUAGAAUUCACCCCUAUAGAUGCAUUAUGUAUCUGUGAGAACCAAUGCUGAUAGUACUGAUCUGUUAAUCGCUGUUUAACCAUACUUUUUAACCAAUCAAUAUUUACAACUAAUUGAUCGUUCCAUAUAAAACUAAGACCUGUAUCAUCAAAUAUAGAUUUUACAUAUUGAAUCCAUUUAAAUUUGGUAGGAUUAGUUUCAUGUAGUUUAAUCAUAAGUCUUAGAAGGAUAUUUGACAGUUUGCUCUCUGUUUUAAUAGUUCUGCACCAAAAUGAUGCAAUCCUAAGUUUUAUAGAGAUAUCUAACGGAACCCGACCUAAUUCCCCGUAAACCAUAAAAUUUGGUGUACUAUUCCGAACACCAAGAAUAUUUUUACUGCAUUUUCAUAAUAUUUUGUUUAUUUUCAAACUCCCAAACCUCUGAUGAAUAUAAGAUAAGAUAAGAUAAGAUAAAUUUUAUUUUCCAAAUUAGGUCCCCAGGGGGGCAUAUACACAUAACAUAUAUGAUUGAUACAACAUACAGUAUUUUACAUAACAUUGUAAAACAAACUAUUGAAAUAGUCAUACAGGUAUUAUUUGUUAAAUAAAAAAGUAUUUGAGAGUUGCUACUCCAGAGAUGUGGCAAACCCCAUUUAUUUAUUUACUUUUUUUUUCUCACUUGAUUUUAUAAUAUUUUGCUGAAAAUGUAUAAAUAUAAAAUAUAAAAUAAAUGAUUGUUUAGCUGCAACAGACACCAAGGGACGAUGCUCUAGGAUGGUGAUCUUAAAAGCUCUAACAAUCCUCCUCGUAUCUGAUGCAGAAAAACAAACACAAAUGAAAAAAGUUUAUGUAUAUUCACAGCAAAUAACAUAUACUGCAGUAAACAGGUAUUGAGAAUAGUGUAGGUUUCCCUACUGCAACAGACACCAAGGGGCGGUACUCAAGGAGCUGUGGUAUUUACACAGUCCUCCUCGUGUCUGAAGCAGACAAGAAAGCCACAAAAUUAACAAUUUUUCGAAAUAAAUUUACAUGCAGCAGUGAGAAUAGACUUAUCUUCUGUGUUCAUAAGCCAUAUCAGUUUAUCUCUUGCGUUAAGAGUUAAAAAGUUGGGGCAACUUUUAGUUAUCUCUUGAAAUAGAUGAUUGCGGUCAUCUUAAAUUUAACACAUUGGAAUAAAAAAUGAUAUUCAUCCUCCACAUCUCCGGAGUUACAACGAGUACAAGUUCUGUCAUUUAGGAGAGUACCCUGAUACCUUCCGGACUCAAUUCUUAAGUGGUGUGAUGAAAUUCUGAGCUUUGUUAAGCUUCGUCUGUGUUCAAAAUUCCCAAUAAUGGAAAGAUAUUUAAUAAUAUAGGUGCGAUUACAGCAUCGAAGAGUUGUAACUGAAUAUCAAUAGGCAAUGAUAUAUGUUUUAUCUUCCUGUAGAGAGCAAACAUUGCUUUUUGUGCUUGAUCAAAAAUCCUUUUUCUAGCAGCACAAAAAUUACCGUUAUAAUUAAAAGUUAUUCCUAAAUAAUUGUAAGAAUCUACAACUUCUGUAGCAUUACCAUAUACAUGAAAAUCAAAGUGGUCUCGUACCUUUUUUUUUUACUAAACACUAUAAUUUUUGUUUUAUCUAUAUUAACUUGGAGUUUCCAUAUGUUACAAUAUUGUUCAAAAACAUCGAGUGCAUGUUGUAGUUCUUCCUUACUUUCAGACAUAAUAACAGUGUCAUCUGCGUACAAAAUUACAAAGAUUUUAACUAAUACUUGUAACAAUUCUUCACAAUUUUUAGAAAUAUAUUCUGAAUCUUUUACAUCAUUUUCCACAAAAAAGUUCUCUAAAUCAUUCAAAAACACCGAAAACAAAAACGGUGAUAAAUGUUCACCCUGCUUUACACCAACAGCACAGUUGAAGAAAGUUGAACUUUGGUUACCAUAUCGAACACAUGUCUUUAUAUUUUGAUACAUAUUAUAAAUAACUGUAAAUAUUUUCCCAGUAAUGUGAGAUUUUUGUAACUUUUGCCAUAACCCUGUUCUCCAAACAGUGUCAAAUGCUCUCUUAAAAUCCACAAAUGUGCAAAAUAAUUUUUUGCCCAUCGAAAAAAAUAUAGAUAAAAUUGAAUGCAGCACAAAAAUAUUAUCGGUAGUUAAAAAUCCUUUUCUAAAUCCAGCCUGAGAUUAUGAUAUAAGUUCAACUUCAUCUGAGAAACUAUUUAAACUCUCAUUUAUUAUUGAUGAAAAAGUCAUUCCUAAACAAGAGUUUAACGUUACACCUCUAUAAUUUGCAGGGUCUGCUUUGGAACCUUUAUUCUUAAAAAAUAGGAAUCAUAAUACCAAGAGACCAUAACUUGAAGAGUUAACGUUUUUACAUUUUUUUUUUCGAAUUUCACACUUCUCCUUCCCGAAGUACAUAUAUUUUGUCUGAAACAUAUCAAACCUGCCUUCAGGUGCAGGUUCUUUGAAUUAUCUGCUUGACUAAAACCAUCAUGCACAGAAAUGCUGAUUUAUUUUUGAUACUAAGAAUUUAUAAUUGACUGUUUGGAUGUUUUAAGAUCUUGUAUUACUUGCAGCAUAAUUGAAGCGUCUGUACAUGCAAAGAAGAAGCAAAAGAUGAAUGUACCCGUCAGAGAAUCUCCUCGUUCCGGUCCGUGUUUAUGGGAUACAGAGUCGGACGAGCUGUGUUAUGAUGCACAAAGUUUGCUGAAGCACGAAUGGGGAGCUACAUGUACAUCAUGUCAUAUUAAACAUACUAAAUUUUGCAGAAACAUUUGGGAGG